AGCACAUUUGUGCAAGAGUUGCCACUUUGUGAAAUUGGUAUAUGAAUAAGAAGAUAGAGUUUGUUGUGUGUAGUAAAAUGAGUUAUGUUUGCAGUUUGAGGAGGUGUCGAAAGAUGAGGUGGCCGAAGAGUUUUGAGGAUGGAGGGACGUGUGGAGGCGAAAGUAAACGUGUUGUAAUAUGGUGGUUGUGUGAAGGAGUUGUUAUUUUUCAGGCUUGAGAUGUGGCGGCAAGUGCAGAAAGGCUAUUAUUACCUGUAUGGUGCAGACUAAGCAAGUGGAAGUGUGGUAGCCAUCGCGAGGCGCCUUGUGCAGUAUCUCGUUGUCGGUAAUGUACGGUGGUGGAAGUGAUAUGAAAAUGAAGAGCGUCUUGGGUUGUUGUUAAUAACGUGUAAGUUUUGUGUUUGUAAUAAUUGUUUUGUAUAUAUCGUACAGGAGGAGUUGUUGGCGUCCAUAAGAUGUGAUUGGUGGUGGAGAGGGAGAUUAACGCUGGACUGAAUUUUGGAGCCAGUUUUGGUGUAAGUAUUGUGGUGCGUGGAGGAAGACUGGGUAAUUGAAAUUGCAUUUAUAUUGUGUAAUAAUUUGAAGAGUAGAGUAUUUGCAACAUUGAUGUGUUUUUUUUGUUUUUUCAUGGUGGUGGUGGCGGAAUAUGGCCGACUCGUUGAGAGGAGCGCGUCGACUCGUCAUACGGUGAUGUUAAAUUUUGUCACGUAUUAGUGAAAUUGGAAGAGUUGUAGGUGAAGUUUUUGUCGAUGAAAUGUGUUGUUACGAGUCCGUGGGAAAUAGGUAGGAAGUCUGUAUGAGAGGUUUACAUUGAUAGCGUAGUUAUGGUAGGGAUUGUGUGUUGAGGGCUAUGAGACUAUUGAUUGCAUUUGGGUUGGCAAAAGUGUGUGGUUUUGACUUGACAUGGGCAAGGGGAGAGUAAAUUGAGGUAAUACUUGGGGCCGUGUGAAAAGUAAGUGAUGUUGCCACGGAGCGUAGGACGACAUUUGUGCAAGAGUUGCCGUAAUAGAGAAUUGCCUAAGUGGAUUAUGACUAGUUUUUGUCUGAAAAUAUGUUUGCAGGUAUGUUUUGUGGUAGGGACUAGGACUACUACUACUACUACUGCUGGAGGUAGAUAAGGUGUAUAAGCACGUGCGGGGUCCAGUCGUUAUUUGAAGGUGGCGGAUGCUCGUCCGACAGUCGAAGAAAGCGCAGUGUUGUGAUUGCACCGAGUGUGAGGACCAACAAUGGAGGAGCCGAGGAAGAAGAUUUUGGAAAAGGAGUGAGAGACGUGACGAAGCAGCCGAUGAGGAUAAAAGGAAUGGAUGCGGCGUAACCGGGUCGCAGAAAGGGCGGAGGUACGGCAGAGCAGCCGAGGCGGAAAACGAGAGGCGCGUUUCGUCGGACGAAGUAUAACGUACGGGAAGGAGCCGACGUAGUACGAACGAUUGCCGGAGCAUCGGCCGUAGAGACGAGAGGCACGGGAGUCGGACCGGCAGAAGCCCGUCGACGCAGCGGGCACGAGAGGGCGUCGGCGACGACGGGGAAAGGUUCUGCGAAGAGAGCUGGCAAGUCCGAGGAUAUCGUAGGUAUUAUUUACUGUAUGGAUACGAGAUUUGCCUUUUCCAAGACGACUAAAGGCCAUCCAUUUGCAGGAGCGGUUUGUUUAUAAUAACCUGUGUGGGUAUGUCGUUUUGAUCCUCAGGUACCGGUCGUAGGGACCCGGUCGUCGCUCCCGAGCGGAAGUGGGUAAUGCGACACGAAUUAUUGUGCAGAGGGGGAGUUUUGUGGCGUCCCCCAGAAGCGGGCGAAGAACGGAUACCCGUGGCGAAGCCUCGAGAAGAAGGAGUUCCAGUUUGCAGUUUGAGGAGGUGUCGAAAGAUGAGGUGGCCGAAGAGUUUGGAGGAUUACUGGUGGGCUUGAGGAGAUGUGGUGGCAAGUGCAUAAAGGCUAUUAUUACCUGUAUGGUGCAGACUAAGCAAUUGGAAGUAUGGUAGCCAUCCAGAGGUGGGGGAGAAGCGUUUGAUGUUUGAAAGGAGGCCAGUGUUGUAACGAUGCGGCCCAUGCACCAUCUCUUAAAAGGAGGUGUUGCCGUCCAUAAGACGUGGUUGGUGUUGGAGAUGGAGAUUAACGCUGGACUGAGUUUUGGAGGCAGUUUUGGUGUAAGUAUUGUAGUGCCUGAAAGAAGACUCUGUAAUUGAAUGUGUAUUUAUACUGUGUAAUAAUUUAAAGAGUAUAGUAUUUGUAACAUUGAUGUUUUUUUUCAUGUUGGUGGCGGCGGAAUAUGGCCGACUUGUUGAGAGGAGCAGGUCGGGUCGAUUCGUCAUACGGUGAUGUUAAAUUUUGUUACGUAUUAUUGGAAGAGUUGUAGGUGAAGUUUGGUGUUGUUGAUGAAAUGUGUUGUUAAGAUCCCAUGGUAAGAAGUGUGGCGGAAAUGGGUAGGAAGCAUACAUUGCUAUUGUAAUUAUGGUAGGGACUGUUGCUUGGUCAGAGAUUAGAGUGGCGGUUAUAUUUGAGACGGGUAAGGGGUGAGUAAAAUGAGGUGGGGAAAGGUACAUAGUUGGGGAUGUUUGAGAAAUAAGUGAGGUUGCAACAUUGAUUUUUUUUUUAUGUUGGUGGUGGCGGAAUAUGGGCGACUCGUUGAGAGGAGUGUGUCGACUCGUCAUACGGUGAUGUUAAAUUUUGUCACGUAUUAGUGAAAUUGGAAGAGUUGUAGGUGAAGUUUUUUGUGGAUGAAAUGUGUUGUUACGAGUCUGUGGAAAAUGGGUAGGAAGUCUGUAUGAGAGCUUUACAUUGAUAGUGUAGUUAUGGUAGGGAUUGUUUAUUGAGGGCUAUGAGACUAUUGAUUGCAUUUGGGUUGGGAAAAGUGUGUGGUUUUGACUUGACAUGGGCAAGGGGAGAGUAAAUUGAGGUAAUACUUGGGGCCGUGUGAAAAGUAAGUGAUUUUGCCACGGAGCGUAGGACGACAUUUGUGCAAGAGUUGCCGUAAUAGAGAAUUGCCUAAGUGGAUUGAGAUUAGUUGUUGUUUGAAAAUAUGUUUGCAGGUAUGUUUUGUGGUAGAGACUAGGACUACUACUACUGUUGGAGGUAGAUGAGGUGUAUAAGCACGUGUGGGGGCCAGUCGUUAUUUGAAGGUGGCGGAUGCUCGUCCGACAGUUAAAGAAAGCGCAGAGUGUUGCGAUUGCACCGAGUGUGAGGACCAACAAUGGAGGAGCCGAGGAAGAAGAUUUUGGAAAAGGAGUGAGAGACGUGACGAAGCAGCCGAUGAGGAUAAAAGGAAUGGAUGCGGCGUAACCUGGUCGCAGAAAGGGCGGAGGUACGGCAGAGCAGCCGAGGUGGAAAACGAGAGGCGCGUUUCGUCGGACGAAGUAUAACGUAUGGGAAGGAGCCGACGUACUAUUAACGAUUGCCGGAGCAUCGGCCGUAGACAAGAGAGGUGCGGGAGUCGGACCAGCAGAAGCACGUCGAUUCAGGGGGCACGAGAGGGCGUCGGCGACGACGGGGAAAGGCUCUGCGAUGAGAGCCGGCAAGUCCGAGGAUAUUGUAGGUAUUACUUACCAUAUGGAUACGAGAUUUGCAUUUUCCAAGACGACUAAAGGCCAUCCAUUUGCAGGAGUGGUUUGUUUAUAAUAACCUGUGUGGGUAUGUCGUUUUGAUCCUCAGGUACCGGUCGUCGUUCCCGAGUCGAAGAGGGUAAUGUGUCACGAAUUAUUGUGCAGAGGGGGAGUUGUGUGGCGUCACCCAGAAGGGGGCGAAGAACAGAUCCCAGUGGUGAAGUUUCGAGAAGGAGUGCCAUCGACUCGGGAAGAAGCGGUACGGGGCUACUCUGCAGCAUGGGUAAUAUAUUUGAUGGAAGAGGCCAUUGUGACGUUCAUCCUUAGUGGGAGAGUGCAAAAAUUGGAAAUUGUUAAAUGUUUUAUCUUUUUCAGAUCGAAGGAAGGGGGCUAACUCGCCGUCGAGGACGACGCGUAGACGCGACCGGCGUACUGAGAAGAUGUCGUUUGAAUGCACAGCUGCUGUCCCCGGGGUGUACGGUGCCGAGAAUACGUCGGGUCUGCGAUUGGGGCGGAGAAGACGUCCAUAGCAGUCGUCCCUUUGACUGGGGUGUACGGAGCCUUGAAGAAGAUGUCCCGUGAGCGUGUAGCUGUCGUCCCUGUGACGGGUGUAUGGAGCGGACAAGAAGAUGUCCUUUGAACGUGUAGCCGAGGAGAAGACAUUGUAGUGGACGUCUCCCUUACAAACUGCGUAGCUUCACAUCACCUGCUACCGUUUUCCCUAGCAACCAAGUGUAUCCGCAUUCCAAUGCCCGCCGUAUCCUAGCAACCGAGCCAAAAGGUCGGCGACUUCUUGGGUUUUCCCAACACGACUCAUAGAGGCUGCUGGAUAUAUAAGCUCUGUCUCUCCUUUGAGAUUCAGUCUGACCAAUGUUCUCGAACAAGCAACACCUCUUCCGCCGCUGC
RNA transcript from Homarus americanus (American lobster), 4439 nucleotides. RefSeq lists it as uncharacterized. The transcript has 7 exons. NCBI's taxonomy places the organism in Eukaryota, Metazoa, Arthropoda, Malacostraca, Decapoda, Nephropidae. The record is from RefSeq and is a predicted model, not a curated record.